GUAGAGGAACACUUGCCUCAGAGGAACAGCAAAGGAGCUGUGGGGAUACGGAUGCUGCCUAAACCCAGCCUAGUCUAGACCAGCCCAGUCCAGCCCCAUGUGUCAGGGAAGAGGCUUUGAAGGACAAAGCAGGGUUCCUGGAUCAGCUGAGCCAAGGACACGGCAAGGGAGGCCAGGAUCAUGAGAACCAGCAGAGACAAUGACGUCAGAGCCAUGACAUCACUUCCUAAUAUCCAAUCAGAGAAGGGAUGCCCAGGACUUCAUCUCUUAGGGGACCAGAACUCUAAGCAGGGAGACACCUGCCCAGUUCUGGUCCACCUGCCAUGGGCUCCAGGCUCCUGUACUGUGUGGCCCUUUGUCUCCUGGGAGCAGGCACAGUGGAUUCCGGAGUCACCCAAACACCAAGACACCUGAUUAAAGCAAGAGGACAGCAAGUGACAAUGAGAUGUUCCCCUGUCUCUGGACACUACAGUGUAUCUUGGUACCAACAGGCCCUGAGCCAGGGCCCCCAGUUCCUCAUUCAGUAUUACGAGGGGAAAGAGAACGCAAAAGGAGUCAUCCCAGAUCGAUUCUCAGGGCAACAGUUCAGUUACUAUAGCUCUGAGCUGAACGUGAGCUCCUUGGACCUGAUGGACUCUGCCCUGUAUCUCGGUGCCAGCAGCGUGGCACAGCCCUGCAGAGUCACCAACGUUCUGUGCACAAAAAUCCCUGCCCCAGCAUGGAGCAACCUCAGAGCUGACAGAUCUGUGAGAACCUUGGGUCUGCAGAGGGAAAGAGAAAUGACUUAGGGCCCUGGAAAGUGCGGCCUCGGGCUCUUCUGCC
Ceratotherium simum simum (southern white rhinoceros) is the source of this 822-nucleotide non-coding RNA. The record is from the annotation of a RefSeq genome assembly. Lineage: Eukaryota; Metazoa; Chordata; Mammalia; Perissodactyla; Rhinocerotidae.